AGCAGCCGCGGUAAUUCCAGCUCCAAUAGCGUAUAUUAAAGUUGUUGCAGUUAAAAAGCUCGUAGUUGAAUUUCGGGGUUAGUAGGUUGGUCAUGCCUCUGGUAUGUACUGGUCUCACUGAUUCCUCCUUCCUGAUGAACCUUAAUGCCAUUAAUUUGGUGUUUUGGGGAAUUUGGACUGUUACUUUGAAAAAAUUAGAGUGUUUAAAGCAAGCUAACGCUUGAAUACAUUAGCAUGGAAUAAUGAAAUAGGACGUUCGAUCCUAUUUUGUUGGUUUUUAGGAUUGACGUAAUGAUUAAUAGGGAUAGUUGGGGGCAUUAGUAUUCAAUUGUCAGAGGUGAAAUUCUUGGAUUUAUUGAAGACUAACUACUGCGAAAGCAUUUGCCAAGGAUGUUUUCAUUAAUCAAGAACGAAAGUUAGGGGAUCGAAGACGAUCAGAUACCGUCGUAGUCUUAACCAUAAACUAUGCCGACUAGGGAUCGGAUGAUGUUAAUUUUUUAAUGACUCAUUCGGCGCCUUA
Molecule: ribosomal RNA, 520 nt
Filed under: uncultured Glomus
Lineage: Eukaryota; Fungi; Glomeromycota; Glomeromycetes; Glomerales; Glomeraceae
Description: SSU rRNA
Rfam family: Eukaryotic small subunit ribosomal RNA
Source: RNAcentral